UCCCUGGCAGUCCACUGGGAGGACUCCACACUUCCACUGUUGAGGCCCUAGGUUCAAUCCCUGGUUGGGGAA
RNAcentral lists this transfer RNA (72 nucleotides) under Bos taurus (domestic cattle). It matches the Rfam family "tRNA". Rfam says of the family: Transfer RNA (tRNA) molecules are approximately 80 nucleotides in length. Their secondary structure includes four short double-helical elements and three loops (D, anti-codon, and T loops). RNAcentral also lists the same sequence under 4 other names. The record is from Rfam by way of RNAcentral. Lineage: Eukaryota; Metazoa; Chordata; Mammalia; Artiodactyla; Bovidae.